This 440-nucleotide ribosomal RNA is filed under the name uncultured bacterium. RNAcentral describes it as "partial 16S ribosomal RNA". It matches the Rfam family "Bacterial small subunit ribosomal RNA", at positions 338 to 795 of the family's 1533-position model. The record is from RNAcentral.
CCUACGGGAGGCAGCAGUGGGGAAUAUUGCACAAUGGGGGGAACCCUGAUGCAGCGACGCCGCGUGAGUGAAGACGUAUCUCGGUACGUAAAGCUCUAUCAGCCGGGAAGCAAAUGACGGUACCUGACUAAGAAGCCCCGGCUAACUACGUGCCAGCAUCCGCUGUAAUCCUUAGGGGGCAAGCGGUAUCCGGAUUUACUCGGUGUAAAGGGGGCGUAGAUGGCAGCAUAAGUCUGGAGUGAAAUCCCGGGGAUUAACCCCGGAACUGCUUUGGAAACUGGGCGGCUGGAGUGCAGGAGGGGUAAGCGGAAUGCGUAGUGUAGCGGUGAAAUGCGUAGAUAUUAGGAGGAACACCGGUGGCGAAGGCGGCUUACUGGACUGUAACUGACGUUGAGGCACGAAAGCGUGGGGAGCAAACAGGAUUAGAUACCCCUGUAGUC